GAUGAACGCUGACAGAAUGCUUAACGCAUGCAAGUCGAUGGGGAAGUGGUGCUUGCACCAUGGUAACCAUGGCGGACGGGUGAGUAACGCGUAAGGAACUUGCCUGCGGGACUGGGAUAACAGCAGGAAACUGCUGAUAAUACCGGAUAAGGUCAUUAAGCUGCAUAGCUUAGUGAUGAAAGGAGACGCCUGCGGAGAGCCUUGCGUCCUAUUAGCUAGUUGGAGGGGUAACGGCCCACCAAGGCGAAGAUAGGUAGCCGGCCUGAGAGGGGGGACGGCAACAGGGGGACGGAGAUGCGGCCGUUACUCCUAGGGGAGGAGGAGGGGGGGAAUAUUGGACAAGGGGGGCAACCCUGACCGAGCAAUUCUGGGGGAAGGAGGAUGUUUUUCGGAUUGAAAAGGGUUUUAAGAAGGGAAGAAGGAAGGGAGGGUACCUGAAGAAGAAGCGACGGCUAAAUACGUG
RNAcentral lists this ribosomal RNA (463 nucleotides) under uncultured bacterium. Its description in RNAcentral is "partial 16S ribosomal RNA". It matches the Rfam family "Bacterial small subunit ribosomal RNA", at positions 28 to 507 of the family's 1533-position model. The record is from RNAcentral.